RNAcentral lists this transfer RNA (84 nucleotides) under Candidatus Omnitrophota bacterium. RNAcentral's name for it is "tRNA-Leu". It matches the Rfam family "tRNA". From Rfam's summary of the family: Transfer RNA (tRNA) molecules are approximately 80 nucleotides in length. Their secondary structure includes four short double-helical elements and three loops (D, anti-codon, and T loops). The record is from RNAcentral. Lineage: Bacteria; Pseudomonadati; Candidatus Omnitrophota.
GCGAGGGUGGUGGAACUGGCAUACACACAGGCCUAAGGAGCCUGGCUCUUUUUGAGCGUGAGGGUUCAAAUCCCUCCCCUCGCA